RNAcentral lists this ribosomal RNA (446 nucleotides) under uncultured bacterium. RNAcentral describes it as "partial 16S ribosomal RNA". It matches the Rfam family "Bacterial small subunit ribosomal RNA", at positions 338 to 795 of the family's 1533-position model. The record is from RNAcentral.
CCUACGGGAGGCAGCAGUAGGGAAUUUUCGGCAAUGGGGGGAACCCUGACCGAGCAACGCCGCGUGAACGAAGAAGUUAUUCGUAAUGUAAAGUUCUUUUAACAGGGAAGAAAGAGAAAUUUGACGGUACCUGAAGAAUAAGCGCCGGCUAACUACGAGCCAGCAGCGGCGGUAAUACGUAGGGAGCGAGGGUUAUCCGGAAUUAUUGGAGGAAAGGGGUGCGUAGAUGGCAUAGUAAGUCUUUUGUAAAAAGGCUGGGCUCAACCCAGUAGGGCAAAAGAUACUGCAAUGCUAGAGUAUGACAGAGGCAAGUGGAACUACAUGUGUAGCGGUAAAAUGCGUAAAUAUAUGUAAGAACACCAGUGGCGAAGGCGGCUUGCUGGGUCGAUACUGACAUUGAGGCACGAAAGCGUGGGGAGCAAACAGGAUUAGAUACCCGGGUAGUC